CGCCCGUAGAGACUAAACGUUGAUGUUCUCGCAAGAGAAUGUGAUAUAGUCCGAUCCCUUCAGGAAUGAAGGUUCAGCACGCACUUUAUAGUAGAUAUUAAGUGCGACCGCGGAAGUAAAACCAAAUGCGUGAGACAGGUUGGUCUCCUAUCUACUGCGCUCGUUGAUUCUUGAGAAGAGUCGUUCCUAGUACGAGAGGACCGGAAUGAACUAACCUCUGGUGUGUCGGCUGUCCUGCCAAGGGCACUGCCGAGUAGCUAUGUUGGGAAUGGAUAACCUCUGAAAGCAUCUAAGAGGGAAGCCAGCUUCAAGAUAAGGAAUCGUUAUAGAACCCUGAGAGAUGAUCAGGUUGAUAGGCACUAGGUGUACGCGCAGCAAUGCGUUCAGCCGAGGUGUACUAAUUAUUCGAUUCCUAUUAGGAA
Molecule: ribosomal RNA, 422 nt
Filed under: Minisyncoccota bacterium
Lineage: Bacteria; Bacillati; Minisyncoccota
Description: partial 23S ribosomal RNA
Rfam family: Bacterial large subunit ribosomal RNA
Source: RNAcentral